AGUGAACGCUGGCGGUAGGCCUAACACAUGCAAGUCGAACGGCAGCACAGUAAGAGCUUGCUCUUACGGGUGGCGAGUGGCGGACGGGUGAGGAAUACAUCGGAAUCUACUUUUUCGUGGGGGAUAACGUAGGGAAACUUACGCUAAUACCGCAUACGACCUACGGGUGAAAGCAGGGGAUCUUCUGACCUUGCGCGAUUGAAUGAGCCGAUGUCGGAUUAGCUAGUUGGCGGGGUAAAGGCCCACCAAGGCGACGAUCCGUAGCUGGUCUGAGAGGAUGAUCAGCCACACUGGAACUGAGACACGGCCCAGACUCCUACGGGAGGCAGCAGUGGGGAAUAUUGGACAAUGGGCGCAAGCCUGAUCCAGCCAUACCGCGUGGGUGAAGAAGGCCUUCGGGUGGUAAAGCCCUUUUGUUGGGAAAGAAAAGCAGCAGGUUAAUACCCCGCUGUUCUGACGGUACCCAAAGAACAAGCACCGGCUAACUUCGUG
Molecule: ribosomal RNA, 492 nt
Filed under: uncultured bacterium
Lineage: Bacteria
Description: partial 16S ribosomal RNA
Rfam family: Bacterial small subunit ribosomal RNA
Source: RNAcentral